AGGGCGCACGGUGGAUGCCUUGGCACUAGGAGCCGAUGAAGGACGGGACUAACACCGAUAUGCUUCGGGGAGCUGUAAGUAAGCUUUGAUCCGGAGAUUUCCGAAUGGGGGAACCCAGCAUCUUUUAUAGGAUGUUACUUUUCAGUGAAUACAUAGCUGAUUAGAGGUAGACGCAGAGAACUGAAACAUCUAAGUACCUGCAGGAAGAGAAAGAAAAAUCGAUUCCCUGAGUAGCGGCGAGCGAAACGGGAAAAGCCCAAACCAAGAGGCUUGCCUCUUGGGGUUGUAGGACUCCGAUACGGUAGUCCAGUGAGAUAGUCGAAGGACCUGGAAAGGUCUGCUAGAAAGGGUAAAAGCCCCGUAGACAAAAUUUGACUGGCACCUAGGAGGAUCCUGAGUACGGCGGAACACGAGGAAUUCCGUCGGAAUCCGGGAGGACCAUCUCCCAAGGCUAAAUACUCCCUAGUGACCGAUAGUGAACCAGUACCGUGAGGGAAAGGUGAAAAGCACCCCGGAAGGGGAGUGAAAUAGAUCCUGAAACCGUGUGCCUACAACAAGUUAGAGCCCGUUAAUGGGUGAUAGCGUGCCUUUUGUAGAAUGAACCGGCGAGUUACGAUUACUUGCGAGGUUAAGUUGAAAAGACGGAGCCGCAGCGAAAGCGAGUCUGAAUAGGGCGAAUGAGUAAGUGGUCGUAGACCCGAAACCAUGUGAUCUACCCAUGUCCAGGUUGAAGGUGCGGUAAAACGCACUGGAGGACCGAACCCACGUACGUUGAAAAGUGCGGGGAUGAGGUGUGGGUAGCGGAGAAAUUCCAAACGAACUUGGAGAUAGCUGGUUCUCUCCGAAAUAGCUUUAGGGCUAGCCUCAGAGUAAGAAUGAUGGAGGUAGAGCACUGUUUGGACUAGGGGCCCAUCUCGGGUUACCGAAUUCAGAUAAACUCCGAAUGCCAUCCAUUCAUCUCUGGGAGUCAGACUGUGAGUGAUAAGAUCCAUAGUCGAAAGGGAAACAGCCCAGACCACCAGCUAAGGUCCCCAAAUAACUAUUAAGUGGAAAAGGAUGUGGGGUUGCACAGACAACUAGGAUGUUGGCUUAGAAGCAGCCACCAUUUAAAGAGUGCGUAAUAGCUCACUAGUCGAGUGACCCUGCGCCGAAAAUGUACCGGGGCUAAAUAGUUUACCGAAGCUGUGGAACACACCAAUAGGUGUGUUGGUAGGAGAGCGUUCUAAGGGCGUUGAAGGUAGAUCGUGAGGACUGCUGGAGCGCUUAGAAGUGAGAAUGCCGGUAUGAGUAGCGAAAGACAGGUGAGAAUCCUGUCCACCGAAUGACUAAGGUUUCCUGGGGAAGGCUCGUCCGCCCAGGGUUAGUCGGGACCUAAGCCGAGGCCGAUAGGCGUAGGCGAUGGAUAACAGGUUGAUAUUCCUGUACCCGUUGUUUUUGUUUGAGCAAUGGAGGGACGCAGGAGGCUAAGGAAUCAGACGAUUGGAAAUGUCUGUCCAAGCAAUAAGUCUUGAUGUGAGUCAAAUGCUUACGUCUUUAAGGACAAGUUGUGAUGGGGAGGGAAAUAAUAGUACCGAAGUUCCUGAUGUCACACUGCCGAGAAAAGCUUCUAGUGAGAAAACAAUGGCCCGUACCGCAAACCGACACAGGUAGUCGAGGAGAGAAUCCUAAGGUGAGCGAGAGAACUCUCGUUAAGGAACUCGGCAAAAUGACCCCGUAACUUCGGGAGAAGGGGUGCUGAUCUAACGAUCAGCCGCAGUGAAUAGGCCCAAGCGACUGUUUAUCAAAAACACAGGUCUCUGCAAAAUCGAAAGAUGACGUAUAGGGGCUGACGCCUGCCCGGUGCUGGAAGGUUAAGAGGAGUGCUUAGCGCAAGCGAAGGUACGAAUUGAAGCCCCAGUAAACGGCGGCCGUAACUAUAACGGUCCUAAGGUAGCGAAAUUCCUUGUCGGGUAAGUUCCGACCCGCACGAAAGGCGUAACGAUUUGGGCACUGUCUCAACGAGAGGCUCGGUGAAAUUUUAGUACCUGUGAAGAUGCAGGUUACCCGCGACAGGACGGAAAGACCCCAUGGAGCUUUACUGCAGUUUGAUAUUGAGUGUUUGUACCACAUGUACAGGAUAGGUAGGAGCCGUAGAAGUCGGGACGCUAGUUUCGACAGAGGCGCUGGUGGGAUACUACCCUUGUGUUAUGACCACUCUAACCCGCACCACUGAUCGUGGUGGGAGACAGUGUCAGAUGGGCAGUUUGACUGGGGCGGUCGCCUCCUAAAGAGUAACGGAGGCGCCCAAAGGUUCCCUCAGAAUGGUUGGAAAUCAUUCGCAGAGUGUAAAGGCACAAGGGAGCUUGACUGCGAGACCUACAAGUCGAGCAGGGACGAAAGUCGGGCUUAGUGAUCCGGUGGUUCCGCAUGGAAGGGCCAUCGCUCAACGGAUAAAAGCUACCCUGGGGAUAACAGGCUUAUCUCCCCCAAGAGUCCACAUCGACGGGGAGGUUUGGCACCUCGAUGUCGGCUCGUCGCAUCCUGGGGCUGUAGUCGGUCCCAAGGGUUGGGCUGUUCGCCCAUUAAAGCGGCACGCGAGCUGGGUUCAGAACGUCGUGAGACAGUUCGGUCCCUAUCCGUCGCGGGCGUUGGAAAUUUGAGAGGAUCUGUCCUUAGUACGAGAGGACCGGGAUGGACUUACCGCUGGUGUACCAGUUGUCUCGCCAGAGGCAUCGCUGGGUAGCUAUGUAGGGAAGGGAUAAACGCUGAAAGCAUCUAAGUGUGAAGCCCACCUCAAGAUGAGAUUUCCCAUUUCU
Molecule: ribosomal RNA, 2795 nt
Filed under: human gut metagenome
Description: bacterial LSU rRNA
Rfam family: Bacterial large subunit ribosomal RNA
Source: RNAcentral